RNAcentral lists this ribosomal RNA (500 nucleotides) under uncultured bacterium. Its description in RNAcentral is "partial 16S ribosomal RNA". It matches the Rfam family "Bacterial small subunit ribosomal RNA", at positions 30 to 523 of the family's 1533-position model. The record is from RNAcentral.
AUUGAACGCUGGCGGCAUGCCUUACACAUGCAAGUCGAACGACAGCACGGGAGCAAUCCUGGUGGCGAGUGGCGAACGGGUGAGUAAAGUAUCGGAACGUGCCCAGUCGUGGGGGAUAACGUAGCGAAAGUUACGCUAAUACCGCAUACGAUCUAUGGAUGAAAGCGGGGGAUCGCAAGACCUCGCGCGAUUGGAGCGGCCGAUAUCAGAUUAGGUAGUUGGUGGGGUAAAGGCUCACCAAGCCGACGAUCUGUAGCUGGUCUGAGAGGACGAACAGCCACACUGGGACUGAGACACGGCCCAGACUCCUACGGGAGGCAGCAGUGGGGAAUUUUGGACAAUGGGCGAAAGCCUGAUCCAGCCAUGCCGCGUGCAGGAUGAAGGCCUUCGGGUUGUAAACUGCUUUUGUACGGAACGAAAAGGUUUGGCCUAAUAAGCUGAGCUCAUGACGGUACCGUAAGAAUAAGCACCGGCUAACUACGUGCCAGCCGCCGCAGUAA